AUUGAACGCUGGCGGCAGGCUUAACACAUGCAAGUCGAGCGAGCGGCGGACGGGUGAGUAAUGUCUGGGAAACUGCCUGAUGGAGGGGGAUAACUACUGGAAACGGUAGCUAAUACCGCAUACCAUCAGAGGUGCCCAGAUGGGAUUAGCUAGUAGGUGGGGUAACGGCCAACCUAGGCGACGAUCCCUAGCUGGUCUGAGAGGAUGACCAGCCACACUGGAACCAAGAACCGUUCCAGACUCCGACGGGAGGCAGCAGUGGGGAAUAUUGCACAAUGAGCGCAAGCCUGAUGCAGCCAUGCCGCGUGUGUGAAGAAGGCCUUCGGGUUGUAAAGCACUUUCAGCGGGGAGGCGUUACCCGCAGAAGAAGCACCGGCUAACUCCGUGCCAGCCGCCGCGGUAAUUC
This 406-nucleotide ribosomal RNA is filed under the name uncultured bacterium. RNAcentral describes it as "partial 16S ribosomal RNA". It matches the Rfam family "Bacterial small subunit ribosomal RNA", at positions 30 to 526 of the family's 1533-position model. The record is from RNAcentral.